Molecule: long non-coding RNA, 196 nt
Organism: Portunus trituberculatus (swimming crab)
Lineage: Eukaryota; Metazoa; Arthropoda; Malacostraca; Decapoda; Portunidae
Exons: 3
Source: RefSeq, a predicted model, not a curated record
AGGUCCUCGCUGCUCCUCUCCAUUGAAAUGUGAAAUCGACACGGAGGCGGCGACGGGAACGUGAUGAAGGUGAGGCCUGCGGGAAGCUUCCACGUCAUACCGCCAGACAGCAGCCCUCGUGUUGGCAAUCCAGGACGACUGACUUAGAAGGAAGAUUACCACCCGCCGCAGCUUGUAGGCAAUCAAUGACCGCCCG